CGAUUAUCUAAUUGAUUUUGCGUUUUUCCGGAAAACAUUUCGAAUCAUGACCCUAUUCCAAUUUGUGUAGCUCGUAAAAACCGUACGCAUUCAUACAUUUCGCAUACGUGUAUAUUUCACGAACACGUUUUUUUUGGUUUUUUUUUUUCUCCAUACCGGAAUAAUCUAAUGGUAAACUUACGAUAAUCAUGUCAAAACACGAUUUAAAUUGAUAUCCGUUACACAGUAUGCGCGCACAAUACACCCACGUCAAGUACGGCCCGUGAUUUUUUACUCGGUCUACAGUAGACGUACGCGCCGUCAAUUGUCGUUGCCACAUUAUUACGCGGCAUUACACACGGGCACGUCGGCACUCAACGUGUAUGGAGUAGCGGGGCGCUGUUAAAACGCCGCCGCACAAAAUAUACUGCGGUACUCCACAUUCGUCGGGCCGUCUCUACCGUUGGUUCAGACUUGUAAUUGUUUUUGUUUUUUCGCCGCCGCACAAAAUAUACUGCGGUACUCCACAUUCGUCGGGCCGUCUCUACCGUUGGUUCAGACUUGUAAUUGUUUUUGUUUUUUUUUUUUUUUUUUUUAUUAACAGAUACCGAAAUUAACGUACAAUAUAUCUGCGUAUUUUAUCGAGAUUUUAUUUCAUUGAUAAUGUCGGUAAUGUCGAUAUCCAAUAUCGCACCGUCGCAGUUACGGAUGUCGAUGUAGACUAAUCUAAACAAAGGUGUCGGUUACCCCUCUGUGUUUACCGGGAAGUGUCAACCCGGUAAAAAUCACUGGCAAUACGCGCUGCCGUGCACCGUAAGGUACGUUUAUGAAGUAUACCUAUACACACAUGCCCACCCGUGAAUGCGUAAUUCAACGAGCUUUUUUUUUUUUAACAAUUUAACAGUUUUUUAACGACAUAUAUAUUUGCAAAUAACGCGAGAAACACGAAUGGAGCCGGCGCGGCCUGUGGCCGUUUAAUCGCGCGACCCGGCUGACUCAUUUUAGGACGUUUUUUCGUGCAGCCGGCCGUACAAGUGUGGUCUCCUGCAUUCUCGUACUAGUCUCCACGGUACUAACGUAUAAAUCACAACACACGCGUGAUAUUAUCGUUUUUCGAAAAUUUGAUCGAUGCACAAAAUGAUAUUGUCCUUCAUUUAGGAAAAAAAAUUCGUUCCAGGCAUGUAAAAUAUUAUCAGGACAGAAUGAAAGGUGCGUUUGGUUGUACAGCUCUUCAGUUUAUUUAAGUGCAGCAGAUACAUUACAAUAUUCAAUAUUGUUUUAUUGGUUUUAUUUUGCUGAACAGAACAGGCCGUGGCCCAGAGUACCAGAAGUACAACAUAUUUACAUAUAUUGUGCGGAAAGUUUAAAUUUAAGUAAUUCUAAGAAUUGUGAUGCAACAGUUAAAUUUUGCCGAAUUGUUAAUAAUGUUUUAGAUUUUUUAAAUAUGAGG
Molecule: non-coding RNA, 1429 nt
Organism: Cinara cedri
Lineage: Eukaryota; Metazoa; Arthropoda; Insecta; Hemiptera; Aphididae
Source: the annotation of a GenBank genome assembly